This 72-nucleotide transfer RNA is filed under the name Novosphingobium beihaiense. Its description in RNAcentral is "tRNA-Phe". It matches the Rfam family "tRNA". Rfam says of the family: Transfer RNA (tRNA) molecules are approximately 80 nucleotides in length. Their secondary structure includes four short double-helical elements and three loops (D, anti-codon, and T loops). Lineage: Bacteria; Pseudomonadati; Pseudomonadota; Alphaproteobacteria; Sphingomonadales; Sphingomonadaceae. The record is from RNAcentral.
CGGUAUAUAGCUCAAGCGGAAGAGCGCCGGUCCGAAAGGCCGGAGGUGCGGGUUCGGUCCCCGUUAUACCAC